AGGUUUCCGUAGGUGAANCUGCGGAAGGAUCAUUAAUACAUGUUGAGCGCACUUUAAUGUGACUCUUUGUAUAAACCAUUACCCCCCAAACCCAGAGGUGCAUUGUGGCCCGUCAAAAGGUUAGCAGUGUAUCAGUACGUAUCUCAAAGGCAACUUUGAUUUACAUUACCCAUCAUUUACCCCCAUUUACACUUAAGAAGUUUUAAGAAUGAUAACCAUAACUAUAUAACUUUCAGCAAUGGAUCUCUAGGCUCUCACGUCGAUGAAGAACACAGUGAAAUGUGAUACGUAAUGUGAAUUGCAGAAUUCAGUGAAUCAUCGAAUCUUUGAACGCACCUUGCACCUUUUGGUUAUUCCGAAAGGUACGCCUGUUUGAAUGUCACGAAACCCCCCUCGGCCCUCAUUCUUUCUAAAAGCAUGGGGGACGGAUUCUGAGUGUUGGCGUGUCAACGCCUCGCUUCAAAUAGAUUAGCACUUUUGGAUGGUAUACUAUUAGUUCAAAAGACGUACUUGAUGUUGUAUUUAUAUUUCAUUGAGGCAGUCUUUGGUCGCUCCGACUAUCCGCUAAUAGGGCAACUUGAAGAAUAGCUUCCUAACCCUAUCAACUUAAUUAAGUAAUUAAUUAAUCUUUAGACUUCAAAUCAGGUGGGACUACCCGCUGAACUUAAGCAUAUCAAUAAGCGGAGGAAAAGAAAAUAACUAUGAUUCCCUUAGUAACGGCGAGUGAACAGGGAAAAGCCCAAAUUUGUAAUCUGGCACUUUUUACAAGUGUCCGAGUUGUAAUUUGUAGAACUGUUAUCC
Molecule: ribosomal RNA, 801 nt
Filed under: Melampsora laricis-populina
Lineage: Eukaryota; Fungi; Basidiomycota; Pucciniomycetes; Pucciniales; Melampsoraceae
Description: eukaryotic LSU rRNA
Rfam family: 5.8S ribosomal RNA (bases 228-382)
Source: RNAcentral